GGCGAACGGGGGAGUAAUACAUCGGAACGUACCCUUGGGUGUGGGAUAACGCAGCGAAAGUUGCGCUAAUACCGCAUAUUCUCCGAGGAGGAAAGCAGGGGACCCGAAAGGGCCUUGCGCUCAAGGAGCGGCCGAUGUCCGAUUAGCUAGUUGGCGAGGUAAGGGCUCACCAAGGCAACGAUCGGUAGCUGGUCUGAGAGGAUGAUCAGCCACACUGGGACUGAGACACGGCCCAGACUCCUACGGGAGGCAGCAGUGGGGAAUUUUGGACAAUGGGCGAAAGCCUGAUCCAGCCAUGCCGCGUGAGUGAAGAAGGCCUUCGGGUUGUAAAGCUCUUUCAGAGGGAAAGAAACGGGCGAGCCUAAUAUGCUCGCUUAAUGACGGUACCCUAAGAAGAAGCACCGGCUAACUACGUGCCAGCAGCCGCGGUAAUACGUAGGGUGCAAGCGUUAAUCGGAAUUACUGGGCGUAAAGAGUGCGCAGGCGGCUUGUUAAGUCAGAUGUGAAAGCCCCGGGCUCAACCUGGGAAUUGCGUUUGAAACUGGCAGACUAGAGUUCGGACGAGGGGGGUAGAAUUCCACGUGUAGCAGUGAAAUGCAUAGAUAUGUGGAGGAAUACCGAUGGCGAAGGCAGCCCCCUGGGCCAGAACUGACGCUCAUGCACGAAAGCAUGGGGAGCAAACAGGAUUAGAUACCCUGGUAGUCCAUGCCCUAAACGAUGUCAACUAGUUGUUGGGGGAGUCUGUCCCACAGUAACGUAGCUAACGCGUGAAGUUGACCGCCUGGGGAGUACGGCCGCAAGGCUAAAACUCAAAGGAAUUGACGGGGACCCGCACAAGCGGUGGAUUAUGUGGAUUAAUUCGAGGCAACGCGAAAAACCUUACCUACCCUUGACAUGUGAGGAAUCUGGGGGAAACUUCAGAGUGCCCGAAAGGGAACCUCAACACAGGUGCUGCAUGGCUGUCGUCAGCUCGUGUCGUGAGAUGUUGGGUUAAGUCCCGCAACGAGCGCAACCCUUGCCAUUAGUUGCUACGAAAGAGCACUCUAAUGGGACUGCCGGUGACAAACCGGAGGAAGGUGGGGAUGACGUCAAGUCCUCAUGGCCCUUAUGGGUAGGGCUUCACACGUAAUACAAUGGCCAGUACAGAGGGUUGCCAACCCGCGAGGGGGAGCUAAUCCCAGAAAGCUGGUCGUAGUCCGGAUUGCAGUCUGCAACUCGACUGCAUGAAGUCGGAAUCGCUAGUAAUCGCGGAUCAGCACGUCGCGGUGAAUACGUUCCCGGGUCUUGUACACACCGCCCGUCACACCAUGGGAGUCGGCUAUACCAGAAGUAGGUAGCCAAACCGAAAGGAGGGCGCCUCCCACGGUGUGGUCGAUGACUGGGGUGAAGUCGGAACAAGGUA
RNAcentral lists this ribosomal RNA (1402 nucleotides) under metagenome. RNAcentral describes it as "bacterial SSU rRNA". It matches the Rfam family "Bacterial small subunit ribosomal RNA". The record is from RNAcentral.